This 85-nucleotide transfer RNA is filed under the name Felis catus (domestic cat). It matches the Rfam family "tRNA". Rfam says of the family: Transfer RNA (tRNA) molecules are approximately 80 nucleotides in length. Lineage: Eukaryota; Metazoa; Chordata; Mammalia; Carnivora; Felidae. The record is from Rfam by way of RNAcentral.
AUCUGGGUGGCUCAGUCGGUUGAGUGUCUGACUUCGGCUCAGGACAUGAUCUCACAGUUUGUGGGUUCAAGCCCCGCAUUGGGUU